AUGCAAGACUACUUCGCGGAGAAUCCAACAUAUCCACCGCACCUCUUCCGGAGAAGGUACCGAAUGCGUCGAUCCCUCUUUGUAAAAAAUGUUCAAGCUUGCGAGGCAAAUUGCUGGUAUUUUACUCAAAGAAGAAAUGUUGCGGGCUUAAAGGGAUUUAGUGCAUAUCAAAAAAUCUCCGCAGCUAUGCGGGUGAUUGCAUAUGGCAUUCCGGCUGACUAUGCCGAUGAGUACCUUCCCAUUGGUGAAGAUACUACAAUUGAGUCAGUACAUAGAUUUGCAAAAGUGAUCAUCUGUGUCUUUGGUCCUUAG
This 312-nucleotide ribosomal RNA is filed under the name Triticum aestivum (bread wheat). Its description in RNAcentral is "partial small subunit ribosomal RNA". The record is from RNAcentral. Lineage: Eukaryota; Viridiplantae; Streptophyta; Magnoliopsida; Poales; Poaceae.